CAGCAGCCACGGUAAUACAGAGGGUGCGAGCGUUAAUCGGAUUUACUGGGCGUAAAGCGUGCGUAGGCGGCUUCUUAAGUCGGAUGUGAAAUCCCUGAGCUUAACUUAGGAAUUGCAUUCGAUACUGGGAAGCUAGAGUAUGGGAGAGGAUGGUAGAAUUCCAGGAGUAGCGGUGAAAUGCGUAGAGAUCUGGAGGAAUACCGAUGGCGAAGGCAGCCAUCUGGCCUAAUACUGACGCUGAGGUACGAAAGCAUGGGGAGCAAACAGGAUUAGAUACCCGCGUAGUCCCUGUCUCUUAUAC
Molecule: ribosomal RNA, 301 nt
Filed under: uncultured bacterium
Lineage: Bacteria
Description: partial 16S ribosomal RNA
Rfam family: Bacterial small subunit ribosomal RNA
Source: RNAcentral